CCUACGGGAGACAGCAGUAGGGAAUUUUCGUCUAUGGGCGCAAGCCUGAACGAGCAAUGCCGCGUGAACGAGGAAGGUCUUCGGAUCGUAAAGUUCUGUUGAAGGGGAAAAAGAGCGGAGAGAGGAAAUGGUCUCCGAUUGAUAUUACCCUUCGAGGAAGUCACGGCUAACUACGUGCCAGCAGCCGCGGUAAUACGUAGGUGGCGAGCGUUAUCCGGAAUGAUUGGGCGUAAAGGGUGCGUAGGCGGCCUGCUAAGUCUGGAGUGAAAGGUACCGGCUCAACCGGUACAGGCUCUGGAAACUGGCGGGCUAGAGAGCAGGAGAGGGCGGUGGAACUCCAUGUGUAGCGGUAAAAUGCGUAGAUAUAUGGAAGAACACCAGUGGCGAAGGCGGCCGCCUGGCCUGUUACUGACGCUGAGGCACGAAAGCGUGGGGAGCAAAUAGGAUUAGAUACCCCAGUAGUC
RNAcentral lists this ribosomal RNA (464 nucleotides) under uncultured bacterium. RNAcentral describes it as "partial 16S ribosomal RNA". It matches the Rfam family "Bacterial small subunit ribosomal RNA", at positions 338 to 795 of the family's 1533-position model. The record is from RNAcentral.